RNAcentral lists this ribosomal RNA (660 nucleotides) under uncultured bacterium. RNAcentral's name for it is "bacterial SSU rRNA". It matches the Rfam family "Bacterial small subunit ribosomal RNA", at positions 202 to 849 of the family's 1533-position model. The record is from RNAcentral.
GAAAGGCGCUUUUGCGUCACUGAUGGAUGGACCCGCGGUGCAUUAGCUAGUUGGUGAGGUAACGGCUCACCAAGGCCACGAUGCAUAGCCGACCUGAGAGGGUGAUCGGCCACACUGGGACUGAGACACGGCCCAGACUCCUACGGGAGGCAGCAGUAGGGAAUCUUCGGCAAUGGACGAAAGUCUGACCGAGCAACGCCGCGUGAGUGAAGAAGGUUUUCGGAUCGUAAAACUCUGUUGUUAGAGAAGAACAAGGAUGAGAGUAGAACGUUCAUCCCUUGACGGUAUCUAACCAGAAAGCCACGGCUAACUACGUGCCAGCAGCCGCGGUAAUACGUAGGUGGCAAGCGUUGUCCGGAUUUAUUGGGCGUAAAGCGAGCGCAGGCGGUUUCUUAAGUCUGAUGUGAAAGCCCCCGGCUCAACCGGGGAGGGUCAUUGGAAACUGGGAGACUUGAGUGCAGAAGAGGAGAGUGGAAUUCCAUGUGUAGCGGUGAAAUGCGUAGAUAUAUGGAGGAACACCAGUGGCGAAGGCGGCUCUCUGGUCUGUAACUGACGCUGAGGCUCGAAAGCGUGGGGAGCGAACAGGAUUAGAUACCCUGGUAGUCCACGCCGUAAACGAUGAGUGCUAAGUGUUGGAGGGUUUCCGCCCUUCAGUGCUGC